GACUGAGCGGCGGACGGGUGAGUAACGCGUGGAAAACCUGCCUCAUACAGGGGGAUAACAGUUAGAAAUGACUGCUAAUACCGCAUAAGCGCACAGCACCGCAUGGUGCAGUGUGAAAAACUCCGGUGGUAUGAGAUGGUUCCGCGUCUGAUUAGCUAGUUGGUGGGGUAACAGCCCACCAAGGCGACGAUCAGUAGCCGACCUGAGAGGGUGACCGGCCACAUUGGGACUGAGACACGGCCCAAACUCC
Molecule: ribosomal RNA, 250 nt
Filed under: uncultured Lachnospiraceae bacterium
Lineage: Bacteria; Bacillati; Bacillota; Clostridia; Lachnospirales; Lachnospiraceae
Description: partial 16S ribosomal RNA
Rfam family: Bacterial small subunit ribosomal RNA
Source: RNAcentral